GAGAUGUGGGUAGUCCGUACGAGCGCACCUUGUCCUUAUUUGCCAGCACGUAAUGGUGGGAACUCUAAGGAGACUGCCGGUGACAAACCGGAGGAAGGUGGGGACGACGUCAAGUCAUCAUGGCCCUUAUGACCAGGGNCUACACACGUGCUACAAUGGAGCGUACAGAGGGUUGCUAAGCCGCGAGGUGGAGCCAAUCCCAGAAAACGUUUCGUAGUCCGGAUCGAAGUCUGCAACUCGACUUCGUGAAGUCGGAAUCGCUAGUAAUCGCGAAUCAGCAUGUCGCGGUGAAUACGUUCCCGGGCCUUGUACACACCGCCCGUCACACCAUGGGAGUGGGUUGCAAAAGAAGUGGCUAGUCUAACCUUCGGGAGGACGGUCACCACUUUGUGAUUCAUGACUGGGGUGAAGUCGUAACAAGGUAGCCCUAGGGGAACCUGGGGCUGGAUCACCUCCUU
This 458-nucleotide ribosomal RNA is filed under the name uncultured Gammaproteobacteria bacterium. RNAcentral describes it as "bacterial SSU rRNA". It matches the Rfam family "Bacterial small subunit ribosomal RNA", at positions 1069 to 1532 of the family's 1533-position model. Lineage: Bacteria; Pseudomonadati; Pseudomonadota; Gammaproteobacteria. The record is from RNAcentral.